AGGUAGCUUGCUACUGGAUUCAGCGGCGGACGGGUGAGUAAUGCCUAGGAAUCUGCCCGGUAAUGGGGGAUAACGUUUCGAAAGGAACGCUAAUACCGCAUACGUCCUACGGGAGAAAGCAGGGGACCUUCGGGCCUUGCGUUAUCGGAUGAGCCUAGGUCGGAUUAGCUAGUUGGUGAGGUAAUGGCUCACCAAGGCGACGAUCCGUAACUGGUCUGAGAGGAUGAUCAGUCACACUGGAACUGAGACACGGUCCAGACUCCUACGGGAGGCAGCAGUGGGGAAUAUUGGACAAUGGGCGAAAGCCUGAUCCAGCCAUGCCGCGUGUGUGAAGAAGGUCUUCGGAUUGUAAAGCACUUUAAGUUGGGAGGAAGGGCAGUCAGUUAAUACCUUGCUGUCUUGACGUUACCAACAGAAUAAGCACCGGCUAACUUCGUGCCAGCAGCCGCGGUAAUACGAAGGGUGCAAGCGUUAAUCGGAAUUACUGGGCGUAAAGCGCGCGUAGGUGGUUCAGCAAGUUGGAUGUGAAAGCCCCGGGCUCAACCUGGGAACUGCAUCCAAAACUACUGAGCUAGAGUACGGUAGAGGGUGGUGGAAUUUCCUGUGUAGCGGUGAAAUGCGUAGAUAUAGGAAGGAACACCAGUGGCGAAGGCGACCACCUGGACUGAUACUGACACUGAGGUGCGA
Molecule: ribosomal RNA, 687 nt
Filed under: uncultured Pseudomonas sp.
Lineage: Bacteria; Pseudomonadati; Pseudomonadota; Gammaproteobacteria; Pseudomonadales; Pseudomonadaceae
Description: bacterial SSU rRNA
Rfam family: Bacterial small subunit ribosomal RNA
Source: RNAcentral